Molecule: microRNA precursor, 82 nt
Filed under: Podarcis lilfordi (Lilford's wall lizard)
Lineage: Eukaryota; Metazoa; Chordata; Lepidosauria; Squamata; Lacertidae
Source: RNAcentral
AGCUGCUUUGGGACUACAAGUCCCAUCAUCCCUAGCUAACAGGAUGGUCAGGGAUGAUGGGAAUUGUAGUCCCAAAACAGCU